Molecule: long non-coding RNA, 1160 nt
Organism: Cavia porcellus (domestic guinea pig)
Lineage: Eukaryota; Metazoa; Chordata; Mammalia; Rodentia; Caviidae
Exons: 4
Source: RefSeq, a predicted model, not a curated record
UCCUGUGUCACUUUCCCAGCUCAUCUGCAUACAGGUGGAACCUGUGAAUAUGAUCUCCUCUCUGCAAGGCAGGAGGCUACCAGCCGGCCUCCUCUCACAUGAGCCUUUUACAUGUUUCUUUUCGCUGGCAGCAGGUAAGGAGAAUGGAGAGAUUGGAAAGCAUGAGAAGACCUCAAGACACUGGUGCUGUGUGGAGCAGAGAGGGCCAAUGACAAGGAAUGUGGAUCACUGCAGGGCAGAGAGGGGCUCUGCUGAUAGCAUAGCCAGCAUGGAUCUGGAUUCUGGGAAAUCCUAAAUGAGCUUGGAGGUGGUUCUUCUCCAGAGACACUGGACAAGAGUCCAACCUGGCAGCCUCAUGAGAGCCUACCAGAGGAUGGUAGGAGCCCGCCUGGACUUCUGAGCUAUGUCUCUCUCUAUUGGAUCUCACUUCUAGGAGGCAGAACGGGUGUGAAAAUCAGAGGGAAGAGGCACCGAGAACACGCAUACUGGAGCCUCAGGGGCACCACCAGUGUGAAUGUGGUACUGGGAUUUGAACCCAGGGCUUCACACGUGCUGGGCAAGCACUCUACUACUGAGGUAUAUCCCGACCUGGCAAGGGACGAGGGGCAGGGACAUGGAGGAGAUCUGCCAAAGCCUACUGUGCUCUCUGAGGGAGCCUCCCAUGACGUCCCCAUCAAGCUGAGCACCCUGUUCUGAGCUUCCCCAGUCCUGUGCUGACUUCUGUCACUGCAUUUAUUAAAGAACUGGGAUCUCCUACAGCUGCUGUGUGUGCAUCUUUAGCUCAUCUGUCACAGCUUACUAUGGGAAAUGACCAGAGACCAAUUAGCACAGAUGUACAGGUGCUGUGGCAUACAGAGCAGGGGCCCUCGCCAGGUCUGGUAGCUCCGGGAAGGCUUCCCAGCACAGCUGGUAUUGAAGGGGAGCCUAAAAGUACUCUGAAGCAAUGCCUGGGGAAGAGAGCUAAAGAAAAACAGCGGAGAGGGAGGACAAAAGGUGUGGGAAAGGUACACAGUACAGCUGUCAGGGUCAGCGAGGGAGCCUGCUCCUGCCCAUCUGCUCCCUUACUGGUUCCCCAGGUCCCCAGAGAACCAUCUGGGCCUUAGAACUGGUACCCAAGAGACACAUGAUCACAGUGGCCUCACACGGGCCAGAGCCUCACC